CACACACACACAGCAGUGUGUGUAUGUGUGUUGUGUAUAUAUGUGUAUGUAUAUAUAUAUAUAUAUACAUAUAUAUAUAUAUAUAUAUACAUACAUACAUACAUAUAUAUAUGCGGCGUGUGCUUG
RNAcentral lists this microRNA precursor (126 nucleotides) under Pelobates cultripes (western spadefoot toad). Lineage: Eukaryota; Metazoa; Chordata; Amphibia; Anura; Pelobatidae. The record is from RNAcentral.